GACGAACGCUGGCGGCGUGCUUAACACAUGCAAGUCGAGCGGUAAGGCCCUUUCGGGGGUACACGAGCGGCGAACGGGUGAGUAACACGUGGGUGACCUGCCCUCAGCUCUGGGAUAAGCCUGGGAAACUGGGUCUAAUACUGGAUAUGACUCCACGGUGCAUGUCGUGGGGUGGAAAGCCUUGUGCGGCUGAGGAUGGGCCCGCGGCCUAUCAGCUUGUUGGUGGGGNGAUGGCCUACCAAGGCGACGACGGGUAGCCGGCCUGAGAGGGCGACCGGCCACACUGGGACUGAGACACGGCCCAGACUCCUACGGGAGGCAGCAGUGGGGAAUCUUGCGCAAUGGGCGAAAGCCUGACGCAGCGACGCCGCGUGAGGGAUGACGG
Molecule: ribosomal RNA, 385 nt
Filed under: uncultured bacterium
Lineage: Bacteria
Description: bacterial SSU rRNA
Rfam family: Bacterial small subunit ribosomal RNA
Source: RNAcentral